Molecule: ribosomal RNA, 2487 nt
Filed under: metagenome
Description: bacterial LSU rRNA
Rfam family: Bacterial large subunit ribosomal RNA
Source: RNAcentral
AGGGCGCAUGGUGAAUGCCUUGGCAUCAGGAGCCGAUGAAGGACGUGAUAAGCUGCGAUAAGCUUCGGGUAGGCGCACAUAGCCAGUGAUCCGGAGAUUUCCGAAUGUGGGAACACACAUGGGAAACCCCAUGUAUCGUAUAGUGAAUACAUAGCUAUACGAGGGUAAACCUAGGGAACUGAAACAUCUAAGUACCUAGAGGAAGAGAAAGAAAAAUCGAUUUCCUUAGUAGCGGCGAGCGAAAGGGAAAGAGCCCAAACCAAAGAUUUAUCUUUGGGGUUGCGGACAGAGCAUUAACGAGAAGUCGUAACUAACCGAACAUAACUGGAAAGUUAGACCGUAGGAGGUAAUAGUCCUGUAGGUGAAAGCGAAAUUAAUCAAGUUCUGAUCCAGAGUACCACGAGACACGUGAAACCUUGUGGGAAGCAGGGAGGACCACCUCCCAAGGCUAAAUACUACCUGAUGACCGAUAGUGAAGCAGUACCGUGAGGGAAAGGUGAAAAGAACCCCGGGAGGGGAGUGAAAUAGAACCUGAAACCGUGUGCCUACAACCGGUCAAAGCCCCUUAUGAGGGUGAUGACGUGCUUUUUGUAGAACGAGCCAACGAGUUACGGUAUGUAGCAAGGUUAAGUACUUAAGGUACGGAGCCGAAGGGAAACCGAGUCUUAAUAGGGCGACUAGUUGCAUGCCGUAGACCCGAAACCGGGUGACCUAUCCAUGGCCAGGUUGAAGCGAGGGUAAAACUUCGUGGAGGACCGAACCACGUUGCUGUUGAAAAAGCAUGGGAUGAGCUGUGGAUAGCGGAGAAAUUCCAAUCGAACUCGGAGAUAGCUGGUUCUCCCCGAAAUAGCUUUAGGGCUAGCCUCGAUUUAGAUUAUUGGGGGUAGAGCACUGAAUGGGCUAGGGGGCCACAAAGCUUACUGAACCCUAUCAAACUGCGAAUACCAAUUAAUUGAUGAUCGGGAGUCAGACAGUGAGAGAUAAGUUCCAUUGUCGAAAGGGAAACAGCCCAGAUCCACGACUAAGGUCCCAAAAUACACGUUAAGUGGAAAAGGAUGUGCAGUUGCACAGACAACCAGGAUGUUGGCUUAGAAGCAGCCACUCAUUCAAAGAGUGCGUAAUAGCUCACUGGUCGAGUGAAUGUGCGCCGAAAAUAUACCGGGGCUAAACGUGAUACCGAAGUCUGGGGAUCAAGAAAUUGAUCGGUAGGGGAGCAACGCAUACGGACAGAAGCAGAAGCGGGAGCGACUGUGGACUGUAUGGGAGAGAGAAUGCCGGCAUGAGUAGCGAGAGCAAAGUGAGAAUCUUUGCCGUCGAAAGCCUAAGGUUUCCUGAGGAAGGCUCGUCCUCUCAGGGUAAGUCGGGACCUAAGCCGAGGACAAGAGUCGUAGGCGAUGGAUAACAGGUUGAUAUUCCUGUACCGUACUUAAGCGUUUGACUGAAGCAGUGACACAGAAGGAUAGACAGACCGAGUGAAUGGAAGAACUCGGCCAAGCAGUGAGGCUGACAUGUAGUGAAGUACGCAUGUUAAGGCUGGGCUGUGAUGGGGACUGAAGAUUAGUAAGGAAGCUGUUGAAUUCACACUGGCGAGAAAAGCUGCUAAGGAGCGAGAGUAUGCCCGUACCGCAAACCGACACAGGUAGGCGAGGAGAGAAUCCUAAGACGAGCGGGAGAACCCUUGUUAAGGAACUCGGCAAAAUGACUCCGUAACUUAGGGAGAAGGAGUGCCUCGAGAGAGGCCGCAGAGAAUAGGCCCAAGCGACUGUUUACCAAAAACACAGGUCUGUGCGAAGUAGAGAUACGACGUAUACGGGCUGACGCCUGCCCAGUGCCGGAAGGUUAAGGGGAAGUGUUAGGGCAACCGAAGCACGGAACUUAAGCCCCGGUGAACGGCGGCCGUAACUAUAACGGUCCUAAGGUAGCGAAAUUCCUUGUCGGGUAAGUUCCGACCCGCACGAAUGGCGUAACGACUUGGGCACUGUCUCAACAAGGGACCCGGCGAAAUUGUAGUAUGUGUGAAGAUGCACAUUACCCGCGAUAGGACGGAAAGACCCCGUAGAGCUUUACUGUAGUUUAACAUUGGAUUUUGAUAACACAUGUACAGGAUAGGUGGGAGGCUGAGAAACCGGCACGCCAGUGCCGAUGGAGCCGCUGUUGGGAUACCACUCUUGUGUUAUUGGAGUUCUAACGAAGUGCCGUAAACCGGGCUUCGGACAGUGUUAGAUGGGCAGUUUGACUGGGGCGGUCGCCUCCGAAAGAGUAACGGAGGCGUCCAAAGGUUCCCUCAGAAUGGUUGGAAACCAUUCACAGAGUGCAAAGGCAGAAGGGAGCUUGACUGCGAGACCGACAGGUCGAGCAGGUACGAAAGUAGGGCUUAGUGAUCCGGCGGUAUGAGAGUGGAAUUGCCGUCGCUCAACGGAUAAAAGCUACCUCGGGGAUAACAGGCUGAUCUCCCCCAAGAGUCCACAUCGACGGGGAGGUUUGGCA